AGCGAACGCUGGCGGCAGGCCUAACACAUGCAAGUCGAACGGACCCUUCGGGGUUAGUGGCGGGCGGGUGGGGAACACGUGGGAACGUGCCUUUAGGUUCGGAAUAGCUCCUGGAAACGGGUGGGAAUGCCGCAUGUGCCCUUCGGGGGAAAGAUUUAUCGCCUUUAGAGCGGCCCGCGUCUGAUUAGCUAGUUGGUGCGGUAAUGGCUCACCAAGGCGACGGUCAGUAGCUGGUCUGAGAGGAUGACCAGCCACAUUGGGACUGAGACACGGCCCAAACUCCUACGGGAGGCAGCAGUGGGGAAUCUUGCGCAAUGGGCGAAAGCCUGACGCAGCCAUGCCGCGUGGAUGAUGAAGGUCUUAGGAUUGUAAAAUCCUUUCACCGGUGAAGAUAAUGACUGUAGCCGGAGAAGAAGCCCCGGCUAACUUCGUGCCAGCAGCCGCCGUAA
This 449-nucleotide ribosomal RNA is filed under the name uncultured bacterium. RNAcentral's name for it is "partial 16S ribosomal RNA". It matches the Rfam family "Bacterial small subunit ribosomal RNA", at positions 29 to 523 of the family's 1533-position model. The record is from RNAcentral.